This 400-nucleotide ribosomal RNA is filed under the name uncultured bacterium. RNAcentral describes it as "bacterial SSU rRNA". It matches the Rfam family "Bacterial small subunit ribosomal RNA", at positions 355 to 770 of the family's 1533-position model. The record is from RNAcentral.
UGAGGAAUUUUCCACAAUGGGCGAAAGCCUGAUGGAGCAAUACCGCGUGAGGGAAGAAGGUCCGUGGAUCGUAAACCUCUUUUCUCAGAGAAGAAGUUCUGACGGUAUCUGAGGAAUAAGCACCGGCUAACCAUGUGCCAGCAGCCGCGGUAAUACAUGGGGUGCAAGCGUUGUCCGGAAUGAUUGGGCGUAAAGCGUUCGUAGGUGGUUCUUAAAGUCGAUUGUCAAAUCCCAGAGCUCAACUUUGGAGAGGCACUCGAAACUCAAGGGCUAGAGGGCGGUAGGGGUAGAGGGAAUUCCCAGUGUAGCGGUGAAAUGCACAGAGAUUGGGAAGAACACCAGUGGCGAAGGCGCUCUACUGGGCCGUAACUGACACUGAGGGACGAAAGCUGAGGGAGCG